CUCAUGGAGCUUAGGUGUUUUUGCUCAAUAAACAUUCACAAUGCCUGGUCUGGGAAUUGAAACCGCGUUCUUACGACUGCGAGUCUGCUGCCCUAACCACCGGGCCAUUGCGCCUCCAAAACAUCAGUGUUGUCUUCAGUGACUGUUUCUUAUGUUGAAAGUCUUCAAUUUUCUCCUCACUGAGUGUUUCUACCUCCAGGUUCAGUCCAUUGUACGAAUCAAAUGGAAUGAAUAUGGUAAAGAAGAGCUGGCACGAGUAACAACAACAGUAACAAUACUGACAAUAAUGACAACAACAAGAAGAAUGAUAUUGACAACAACAACUACUGCAAAGUAUAAGGACAGUAAUAAUAAAAGAAUAAAGCACUAAGAACAAAGCAAGAAGAAUAAGGCAAUAAAGGAACAGCAACAAUAUGACAGCAACAACAACAGAAACGAUAAGGCAGUAAUGACAACAAUAAUGGCAAUAACAGCAACAGUAAUAACAAGUGUAAUAAUUAGAACAAUAACAACAACAAUAACAAUAGCAAUAAUGGAAUAAUAGUAGCAGCAAAAACAAGAAAAAACAAGAGUAAGGCAAUGACAACAGCAAAGAAGCAAUAACUGCAAGGAAAACGAGAAUAUGAUAACGAAAUAACAACAACAAUAAGACAGAAGUGAUGUAAUUGAGAUAAUAACAAUAAAGACAGCAAUAGUCUGAAAAAAUAAGAAUGGCAAUCAAUAUUUGAUAUAAUACAACAGCAAUGACAACACCAACAACUACAACAACAAUGGAGCAAUAACUAUAACAACAACAGCACCGGUAGAGUAAUGAUAUAACAACAGCAACAAAAGAGAAAUAACUAUAGCAACAAUAGCAACAACCAUGGCAACAAUAGCAACAGAGCAAUAACUAUAGCAACAUCAAAGCAACAACUACAUCAGCAAUAGCAACAACUGUGGCAACAACAGCACAACAGAGCAAUGACUAUAGCAACAAUUGCAACAACAGAGCAAUAAACAUAGCAACAACAGCAACA
Molecule: long non-coding RNA, 1019 nt
Organism: Octopus sinensis (East Asian common octopus)
Lineage: Eukaryota; Metazoa; Mollusca; Cephalopoda; Octopoda; Octopodidae
Exons: 2
Source: RefSeq, a predicted model, not a curated record